Molecule: ribosomal RNA, 452 nt
Filed under: Streptococcus mitis
Lineage: Bacteria; Bacillati; Bacillota; Bacilli; Lactobacillales; Streptococcaceae
Description: bacterial SSU rRNA
Rfam family: Bacterial small subunit ribosomal RNA
Source: RNAcentral
GACGAACGCUGGCGGCGUGCCUAAUACAUGCAAGUAGAACGCUGAAGGAGGAGCUUGCUUCUCUGGAUGAGUUGCGAACGGGUGAGUAACGCGUAGGUAACCUGCCUGGUAGCGGGGGAUAACUAUUGGAAACGAUAGCUAAUACCGCAUAAUAGUAGAUGUUGCAUGACAUUUGCUUAAAAGGUGCAAUUGCAUCACUACCAGAUGGACCUGCGUUGUAUUAGCUAGUUGGUGAGGUAACGGCUCACCAAGGCAACGAUACAUAGCCGACCUGAGAGGGUGAUCGGCCACACUGGGACUGAGACACGGCCCAGACUCCUACGGGAGGCAGCAGUAGGGAAUCUUCGGCAAUGGACGGAAGUCUGACCGAGCAACGCCGCGUGAGUGAAGAAGGUUUUCGGAUCGUAAAGCUCUGUUGUAAGAGAAGAACGAGUGUGAGAGUGGAAAGUUCA